RNAcentral lists this ribosomal RNA (460 nucleotides) under uncultured bacterium. Its description in RNAcentral is "partial 16S ribosomal RNA". It matches the Rfam family "Bacterial small subunit ribosomal RNA", at positions 338 to 795 of the family's 1533-position model. The record is from RNAcentral.
CCUACGGGCGGCAGCAGUGAGGAAUAUUGGUCAAUGGGCGCGAGCCUGAACCAGCCAAGUCGCGUGAGGGAUGAAGGUUCUAUGGAUCGUAAACCUCUUUUAUAAGGGAGUAAAGUGUGGGACGUGUCCUAUUUUGUAUGUACCUUAUGAAUAAGGAUCGGCUAACUCCGUGCCAGCAGCCGCGGUAAUACGGAGGAUCCGAGCGUUAACCGGAUUGAUUGGGUUUAAAGGGUGCGUAGGCGGCCUUUUAAGUCAGCGGUGAAAGUCUGUGGCUCAACCAUAGAAUUGCCGUUGAAACUGGGGGGCUGGAGUAUGUGUGAGGCAGGCGGAAUGCGUGGUGUAGGGGUGAAAUGCUUAGAUAUCACGCAGAACACCGAUUGCGAAGGCAGCCUGCCAAGACAUGACUGACGCUGAUGCGCGAAAGCGUGGGGAUCAAACAGGAUUAGAUACCCGGGUAGUC